GGGAAGGUGGCUCAGUGGUAGAGUGCUUGCCUUGCAUGCAUGAGGCCCUGGGUUCGAUUCCUUAGCACUACCU
Molecule: non-coding RNA, 73 nt
Organism: Dipodomys ordii (Ord's kangaroo rat)
Lineage: Eukaryota; Metazoa; Chordata; Mammalia; Rodentia; Heteromyidae
Source: Rfam